This is a long non-coding RNA of Herpailurus yagouaroundi (jaguarundi), 7566 nucleotides long. RefSeq lists it as uncharacterized. NCBI's taxonomy places the organism in Eukaryota, Metazoa, Chordata, Mammalia, Carnivora, Felidae. The transcript has 5 exons. The record is from RefSeq and is a predicted model, not a curated record.
GACAGAAUUCUGGAGCCCUGGAGCCUGCGACUCUGUCAUGUUCCUGCCGGGAGCUCAGGGGUCUGAGGAGCCAAGGAGGCUGUCCCUAGGCACGUGCAAAUCCAGAGGCAUCGUCCAGACGCUGGCCACCCCAGUCCACCUGGCAUCUUAGCUCCCCCUGGGUACUAACUACCCUACUAUCUCCUGUCUCUCCUCGCCCCGCCCCACCACCCGGGGAACUGGGACUUAUCAAGACAAAGAACAAAAGUCGUGGGGGAAAGAAGCCAAGAGCCAUCUCCACUCUGGGGUAGGGCCCUCCAGUUUCGCCCCUUUGAAAUUUCAAAUUCCAGUUUGUGGACAAAGUCCUAACUUUCUCACAAUAUAGGUCCCCAACCACUGACCAAACUCCAGUCCAGGCAGCCAGCAGGCCCGGGGCUGGUCCGGCCUUGCUGUCUUUCCCCUGGCAGUUCUCAAGUCCAGGGGGAGGGGUCCUGGGCCAACUGGGGUCUGCCAGGCCACCCCCGCAGCCCUACUCCACCCCACCCCACAGAGACCCCUGCCUCCCAUCUGAGAGGACAGCUCUCUUCCCGGAGCUGGGAUCUGACGCUUGCUGGUGCCAACAGCAGAUACCAGGCGCAUGACCGGAUUACUCUUUCUUGCUUCCUUUGAAGUUAGACGUGACCAUGUGACUUGUUCUGGCCAAUGAAAUGAGAGCAGAAACAACUGGUGCGUCACACCCGGGCAGAAGCUUGAAGGGCCCGCGCUGGGGCUGUUUCAGAAGCACGUAGGGAUAUGGAGUCAUCAGGGUGGGGAGUGCACCCCACCAGCCCCUGACGGACAAGUACUGCCCACCCUCAUGCAAGAGGAGUGUGAGUCAAAAAGAAAGGGAAGGCAUAGUUCCUGCACGUAAGCAUCUCAGAAUCUUUCAUGAAACAAUCAGAGAAGUCCCAAAAUACUUGCAGAGAAGAAUGGACUGAGCUGCAGUCAAGUGUCCUCAGUAGAGGUUUGUUGAAAAAGUGAAUAAGUGAACAGUGACAGUGAAUGCAGGAGCCUCCUGCGUAAAGACCGGACCCAUUCUGGGUACCCAUAUCCUCCCUUUAUAAAAUGGCACAAAAUAAGACAAUGGUUUUCUAUGCUGGAUCCCAAAUCACAUAAGGACUUAAUAAAAAAUUAAAGAUUCUUGGAACUCAUCCCAGGAGAUCCUGAUUCACCAGGUCUGGGGUGGGGCCCCAAAAUAUGUCAUUGAUAAGGAGGUUUUCUAUAUGCAGUCAGGUUUGUGAACCAGUGAACCAUAGAGGCUGAAAUUAAGUUGAGGUGAAAUGGGAAAAGAUGUGGAGAGGUGAGAAAAGGGAAAACGGUGGGGGAGACUCUACAUAGGGAAACCGCCAUGCCUGACAUCCGACACAGUCCUACAGUUGGCCAGCCUCUGGCAUCCUACCCAACUUUGGGCCCAUCAGCCCUUCAAGGAAAUGAAGCAUCUUCUAGUUUAUGAUACUUUUCUCCUUCCUUACCUCAUCGAAUCCUUACAAAAACCAACUUUCUUUGAUGGAGGAAGAAAUUCAGAAUCAGAUGGCGAAGCAAAGUGUCAACCACUUACACAGUUUUCGGUGGGAGUGCCAUUUAACCAAACUGCCCCUGACAACAGCCUCUGAUCUGGCCUGAGGCUCAUGUCAUUGGCCUAAUUGAUGUUUGUCGACCAGUGGCCAAAGCACCCAGUCUCCUUACUUGUUCUGUCCUCAGCACUUGCAGAUUCUGCUAGCCCAGCCCAGCCCAGCCCAGGCUAUAUCAUCCAUCCAAACACCAAUCCAUCUGUGCCUCCACCCACACACCCAGCUAACCAAUUGCUUAUUCAUCCACUUAUCACAUUCAUCUACAUAUCUCUUCACCGUCCUAUCCAUCUACUUACCCAUUUAUCCAUCAUCCACCAUACCCACCCAUCCACUCACCCACCCAGACAUCCAUUCAUUCAUCCAUCCAUUUUCUGAUUCAUUCAUUCAUUCAUUCAUUCAUUCAUUCAAUAAACCUCCCUCAAAGUCAAUAUAGGUCCAGGUCCUAGAGUUUCCUAGAAUAAAACAACAAAGAUCAUACAAAUACAGACCUUGCCCUCAAGGAGAUUUGAAAUGCUUACAAAAAUGACAAACUACCAAAGGACCAAGACAGAUAAUUAAGGGAAGCUAAGGGGAACUUGUGAAAAGAAAAAGAAUAGGAAAGGGUAAGAAAAGAAUGAAGCCAGAAGUCUGGGUAGCAUACAGAUAAGCACACAAUAGCAUCUUAUCCUCAUAAUUGCUAAGGGCAGCUCCAGAUUUGCCUCUGAGCUAGACCCUGGCACCCGAAGCAAAAAACCACAGCAGAAAAGUCACAGGGAUAUUCAGUUGUGGCAGACAUCAUGCAGAAGCUAUCCCUGCUUCCUUAUACCACAGUAGUGUUAUAUGUGUCCAGGGCACAUCGAGAAACAUCUGGAGACAUAUUUGGUUGGCACAGCUGAUGGGGGAAGAAUGCUCCUGGCAUCUGAUGAGUCAAAGUCUGGAAAGCUGCUAAAUAUCCUACAAUGCACAGGACAGCAGCCACAAUAAAGAAUCAUCUGAGCCAAAAUGUCAAUAGUGCUGAAGCUGAGAGACCCUCUUAUGAGAGAACCCCAAUUUUGUUUGGAAUAGCAUCGUGCUAGACCUCAAGAAAACAGUAUCGUUGGUUGAAGCCAGUCUUGGCUUUCCCAUUUCUUUCCACUAGACCCUUGAAUUCCCAGCUUUCUUUGAACCAGGGAAGUCUGCUGGGAGGUUUCUGGGGAAAUUUUGCUUUUUGAUCAAAGAAACAAGUACUUCAAGGAAUAUCCCCUCCAGCUUCAGGUGCUUGAGGGCAGACGUGAUGCCCCGCACCAUGCCAGCCACGUUGGGUCUGCACGGUGAGCAUGGAGAGACAGGAAGGUAGAGCAUGGGUCUGGCUGACAUUGUUGACCGUUGUCAUACAGUUGUUUCUUAAAACCUCCCUCAGUUCAUGCAUCCAACAGAUGCUUACUGAGCAUUUAUUCUGUGCCAGUUGCUGUGUGAGACGUGCAAGGCUCGCAGAGUUUAUAGUCGAGUGGGGGAUACAGAGGCCACAACGCACACCAAUGCUGUCUGAUCAGAGUCAUGAUGAGAGCUACAAACCAGAAGCCAGUGUGCCAUGAGUGUGUUGCAAGUCCAGGGGAAGGUCAAGUUCACCCAGCAUCACCCCACCAAAGAUCAGCUCCCUAAAGACUGUCCUCCUGGGGUUCAAAGAUGUGAGACGGCAGCUGACAUUUACUGCAUGGUUGCCUUGUGUCAGGCACGACGCUGAGCACUUGUGUAUUAACUCACGUGUGUUAACUCACGUUAUCCUCUCCACAGCCUUGCCUGCCAUUGCCCCUCCUGAGGCUCUGCUGUGGACCUCGUCCCUUCCCCUACAGCUUACCUCUGCAGUUGCAGCCUUUGGUGGGGGGGUUAGUAUUAUCCUGAUUACAGAGCCUAGGAAAAGGGGUUCUCCUCAAAACACUCAUUUCUUUUUUCAGAAGGUGCAUUUUCCCUAGAGCUUCCUAGUUCAUUCAACAUGUGGGGCUCAGAGAGGGAUAGGCCACACAGCUUUAAAAAAUAAAGGAGGGGGCAGAUCCAGGAUGCUAACCCAGAUUUACUUUAUCUCGAAAGCAAGGUCUUUUAGCCACCAUCACACACACACACACACACACACACACACACACACACACACAAAUGCCCAGCUGUCCCAGGACAGCAAUGUUCUUUUGUUGAUGCUUGCUGCAAAUCUGGCCAUAGGAGCUCUCCUUUCUCUGCCCAGCCCAGAUCUGUAGCUUAGUCAAGAGAGUCACAAAGGGACUGAAGUCAGAUGAUUUUUUUUUUUUUUAAAAACAAUCCUGAGCUCUAGUUUUCUCUUCUAUCCUUGGAGAUAACAAUAUUAUUAUCUGGAACAGCUGUUGUAGGAGUUAAAGUAAUAGGCAUAGAACAUCCAUCCAUCCAACCAUCUAUCCAUCCAACCAUCCAACAAAUGUGUGUUGAACACUUGCUUUAUGGUGAGCACUGCGUACAGGUCGGGAUGAAGGGGCAUGAGGCCACCCUACAAAGUACAUAGACCUGGAAUACAGUGAGAAGCUGUCAGGUUAUAUUAUUAUAGUACCCCCCUGGGAGAAAUGUGGGGGGCCUUCUGUUCAUCCCUAGCCUUGGCUUGUGGCCUGGGGCCCUCCUUCCACAGCAGCUGACUAUCUGGUCCCUAUGCAAGACACAGUCUUGUUCUGGCUACAGGGUCAACCAAGUCUUAUAAUUGUGUUUCAACCUUGGAUGGAGCACCUAAGACAUGCCUAGCCCUUCAACUGUGCUAUCUCCUCUCACUGCACCACCCUCUGUGAGAUAGGUCCAUUUUCCAGGUGAGGAAAUAGAUUCAGAGAGGGGAAGUAACUUGCCCAAGGUCAUACAGCUGGUAUGGGAUGGAUCCCCAGGCUAUUUUGGGUUCCUUAGCCUCUGCUCCUUCCACUACAGCACAAACUUCUGUUUGGUGGUAGGUCGAAGAAAGAUCCCAGUGGACCAGUCAGGAGACCAGUCCUUGAUUCCUUGAGGCCAUCUGUCCUCAGCUAAUGACAAUAUUAAACAAUAUUUGUUGAGUCCUUAUCAUGUGCCUGGUGCCUAGGGCUUACACCCUUGGUCUCCUUUAGUCCUCUGUGAGGGCCUGUAAGACAUCCUAUCUCCACUUCAAAGAGAAGGCAACUGAGGCACAGAAAUGUUGAAUAAUUUGUCUAAAGUCACAGAACUAGAGCCUGGAUUCCAGAGGCCAAACACUAUGUGUGUUUGUGUGAUUUAAAUCUCUUAACAAAACGCACCUAAUUUUUAAAAAUCCAAAAUGUGCAAGAAAAGGUUGAAAAAAAAUUUAUUGAACCUCCCUCCUCAGAAACACAACUCUGUUACCAGUCUCUUCCUGUCUGUCUACUGGCUUUCUAUGCAAAUACAAACGUGUGUGUACAUAUACAUGCGAAUAUCCGUUCUGUUAUCAGAAAUGUAAAAUGCUACACACAGUGCUUCGGUUUGUUUUUUUCACUAAGUGUAACCUGGAGGUCCCUCCCUAUCUGCAAACAGAUCUACAUUUUUGCUCCUUCAACAAUGGGCUAGCAUUCCUUGCUAAAGAUGCAUCACGCUGUGUUUACCCAUCCUCUACGUUUGCUGCGUUACCUCCAGUAUGGAGUCACCCCAGCCACAGAGCCCAAGCUUUCACCUUUCAGUGACAUGUUCUUCCCUGGCCUUGCACCUAAGUUUCAUACAUCUAGCAAGAGACCAUUCUUUUCCGACGCCCCACGCCCCACGCUGUGUUGCUCGACUUGGCUUCCCUUUGGUGAAUUAUCCAGAGCUCAUCAGAGCGGCCUGCCCCGCCCUCCCCCGGGGUCCCAUCCCGCCUAGACCCUGAGCCAGCUCUGUGCUAGGCCCAGCAAGGCUCCGGUCGGCUUCCACUCGUCCCUGGUCCCUGGCAAAUGGGUUGGUAUUUCCAGCCCCGCCCUCUGUGGAAUUUUGGAAAGACCCUUGGGACACGUGCCCAGGAAAGCAGUCUCUCUUGGCCGAGGCGAAAGGAGCAAGCCCCUGCGGGGGGGGGGGGGGGGGGGGCUCCUACGGCCCCUCCCAGCCCUUCCCAGACCAAAUCUGCCAUGCCUCUGGGACGUUAGCGAAGCAAGCCACAUGCAUCCCCUGAGGUUCCUGCCAUUCUGGAGGAGGCCCUAGAGAGUCGUUGUGUUCCUCGGAAACACAUAAUGGGGCGUCCCAUGGCCUCCCAAACUUGACCAUGGUCCUGCCCUGUCCAGUCCUCCCCCCACCCGACCCUUGGUCCCACUCACCAUAGGGACUCUCCACUGGAGCCCCGAGGGGCGCGUUCACACUGACCAUGGCCGAGCCCACCCAGCCAAAGACGCGGGGGCAUGGAGGAGCCGGGCCCCACACACAGCGGCAGCAGGCCACCGGGAGCCAGUCCACCAGGAAGGCAGUGAGUACAGCCAGCUGCCACCGCCUGGUUAUCUUAUUGAUUCUUCUAAUCACCCAAGGUGGGUGGAUAUGUUAAAGAGUAACCAGUCACUUAGGGAACCUGCGGCUGAGGACUGUCACUGUUACCAUGGCAAUGGCAACCUGGCCAGAUCCGAGGUCCACUUGGGCCCCAGUCCUGCUCUCUGGGGUUGGGGGGCACCUGGAGCCAGAUGUAGGGGACAUCAGCCCCUCACCCCAACUUGAGGUAAGGGACUGGCCAGGAGGCGAUGAGGAGGUGAGAGUCCAACCUGGGUUGGGUUUUAUGGCUCCUCAUAAUGGGUGUGGCAUUGUGGCAGGAGGGAGGGGUAGCAGAGAAAGGAGGGGAGUGGAGGACUGUAUUAUUGAGCACCUACUGGAUGCUGGGAGUAGCACACAGGUAUUGCCACAUUUAAAUUAAGCCUCUGUGAGGAAACUUGAGCCACAGAGAGACGUGGCCUGCCUGUAAUCUCACAGCUGGUGACAGAGGAGUUGGGUCAGCAUUAUAAACCACAGUCUCCCCUUCAUCGAAUAUAUAUUUACUGAGCACCCACUGUAUACCAGGUCCUGUGCUAGACUCCAGGGAUACAGAAACAAGCAAAGCAGGCAUCAGCCCUGCACCCAUGGAACUUGUGGACGACUGGGGGAGAUGGGCAUUCAUCAGACGAUAGUAAAGAUUAUUCAAAGAUAUUAUGACACAGACCUGAUUACAAACCGGACGAGACUACCUCUGCACAGAGAAGAAGCCUUAAACCUGGACAUGCCCAAAUGCCUCACCCAAAUUCACCUGCACCUCCUUCACCCAGAUCCACCUGGUCUGCACCUGCCUCUUCCCCCUGCUCAGGAACCCCCCGUGAGCCCAUGGGGUUUCUCCUACAUAUUUGACCUCUCCCUCUUUAGACUUUUAAAAUCAACUUUCUGUUGAAAGUAUAAUUUACAUAUAAUCAAAUGCACUCUUUUUAGGUACACAGUUUCAUGAGCUUCGAUAAGUGUAUGAACCCAUACAGAACAUUUCCACGACCCCCCAAAACUUCUCUUUGUUCCCCUGCUGUUAAUCCUCCAGCACCUCCCCCUCCACGCAACACUGACCUGCUUUCUGUCACUCUACAUUAGAUUUGUCUUUUCUAGAAUAUCAUAGAAAUAGAAUCAGACAGCAUUUACUCUUUUGUGUCUGGCUUCCUUUGCUCAGAAUGUUGGUGAGGUUCACCCACAUUCAGGUCCCUUGGUACUACCUCCGUAUUCCACUGAAUAGAUACUCUGUAACUGGUUCACCCAGUCACAGGCAUUGAAGUUGUUGCCAGUCUGGGGCUAUUGUGAAUUACACAGCUACAUAUGGUCAUGAACAAGCCUUCCUGAAGGCAUAUGUUUUCAUUCCCUUGGUUAAAUUUCCAGGAAAGGAAUUGCUGGUUGAUCAGUUAGGUGUGUGUUUAAUUUAUAAGAAACUCUCAAACUCUCAAACUCACCGAAGUGAUCAGACUUUUGUAUGAAUACCAUUUUGUAGUCCUGCCAGUGGGGUAAGAGAGCUCCUGUUUGCUCUAUACCCUUAUCGCUGUUUAUUGUUGUCAGUCUUUUUAACUUUAACCAUGUGAGA